RNAcentral lists this ribosomal RNA (1042 nucleotides) under uncultured Mollicutes bacterium. RNAcentral describes it as "bacterial SSU rRNA". It matches the Rfam family "Bacterial small subunit ribosomal RNA", at positions 355 to 1400 of the family's 1533-position model. Lineage: Bacteria; Bacillati; Mycoplasmatota; Mollicutes. The record is from RNAcentral.
UAGGGAAUUUUUCACAAUGGACGAAAGUCUGAUGAAGCAAUAACCGCGUGAGGGAAGACGGUUUUAGGACUGUAAACCUCUGUUAUAAGGGAAGAAUAUGUCGGAGAGGAAAUGCUCCGUGCAGUGACGGUACUUUAUUAGAAAGUCACGGCUAACUAUGUGCCAGCAGCCGCGGUAAUACAUAGGUGGCAAGCGUUAUCCGGAUUUAUUGGGCGUAAAGAGUGCACAGGUGGUUAUAUAAGUUUGAUGUUAAAGACCGAAGCUCAACUUCGGUUCGCAUUGAAAACCGUAUAACUAGAAUGCAGGUGGGAAUAGUGGAAUUCGAUGUGUAGCGGUGGAAUGCAUAAAUAUAUCGAGGAACACCAGUGGCGAAGGCGGCUAUUUGAACUGUAAUUGACACUUAAGCACGAAAGCGUGGGGAGCAAAUAGGAUUAGAUACCCUAGUAGUCCACGCCGUAAACGAUCUAGAUUAGAUGUCGGAAUUAUUCGGUAUCGCAGCUAACGCAUUAAAUCUAGCGCCUGGGUAGUACGCACGCAAGUGUAAAACUCAAAGGAAUUGACGGGGACCCGCACAAGUGGUGGAGCAUGUGGUUUAAUUCGAUGAUACGCGAAAAACCUUACCUACGCUUGACAUACUUGGCAAAACUAUAGAGAUAUAGUCGAGGUUAACCAAUGUACAGGUGGUGCAUGGUUGUCGUCAGCUCGUGUCGUGAGAUGUUUGGUUAAGUCCAGCAACGAGCGCAACCCCUAUCCUAUGUUACCAGCAUUAAGUUGGGGACUCACGGGAGACUGCUAGGGUAACCUAGAGGAAGGUGGGGAUGACGUCAAAUCAUCAUGCCCCUUAUGCGUAGGGCUACACACGUGCUACAAUGGUACAUACAAAGUGCUGCAAACCCGUGAGGGUAAGCGAAUCACAAAAAAUGUAUCUCAGUCCGGAUCGAAGUCUGCAAUUCGACUUCGUGAAGUUGGAAUCACUAGUAAUCGUAGGUCAGCAAUACUACGGUGAAUACGGUUCUCGGGUCUUGCACUCACCGCCCGUCAA